This 2625-nucleotide long non-coding RNA is filed under the name Glycine max (soybean). Its description in RNAcentral is "long non-coding RNA (GMAX_LNC001692)". Lineage: Eukaryota; Viridiplantae; Streptophyta; Magnoliopsida; Fabales; Fabaceae. The record is from RNAcentral.
AGGCCCCUAAGCUGUUGUUUGUGAACCAUAUUGAAAUUCGUGAGAGCUUGAAAAUGUCUCCCAAAUACAUGCUAGUGUUGUUGAUAGCAUUGGUUUUGGCAGUCUCGUCCCUUUCCCAUGGUCCAGUACACGGUUCAGUACACCCAAGGCCUCAUCCUCCUCCAAAAAUUACUCGAUACUCCGCGCCACAUAUACAUAAACCAAAACCACCAAACGUGGCAACAACAAACACCUAUGCAGCAAAGAAGCCUCCAACUAAAGGUUGAACUGUUAGGCUAUGAUCAAAGGUUUUGCAACGUCAAGGGAGUAUAUUACAACAGUAAUCGCAAUUUGAAACCUUGACUAGAGAUACUUUAAUGGCAUAUAGUAUUAAUUAAUGGUCAGUGCUAUGAGUAUGCAUGUAUGAUUAAAUAAUAGUUAGUUAGGAGUUUGUUUGAACUGUUGUAAUACCUUGUUAUGAGAGUCUCCAUCUGUGUGUUUUGAUUUCCACUUAUAUGCAUAGUUUGAUGUGUUCACGAUGUGCUCUCUCUUUUGUUUAUGUUUGUACAACAUUCUAAAGGCCACAAGAUAAGACAUGAGAGUUAAAUUGUUAAAUAAAAUUAAACAAGAUCGUGAUAAGAUAAUAAUAUGAUAAAUUCUUAAACUAUUCAACUUUAGAUACUAGAAUUUAGGUUUAAUUUGGGUCGAACCUAGCUUCAUAAAACUGGCUUAAAACUAUUAAGAACAUAUUAGAAUUUUUAAUAUCCGUCUCUAACAUAUUAGGAUAUUUAAUUUCCUAUAAUUGAUAACCAGAGACGGACUUAGAGACGGAUUUGUGACAUCAUCUGAAUGAAUUUUUUGGUUUCUAGCUUCCGUCUCUGAAAACGUUAGAUAAGGACAGACACGGAAAUAUAGAUGUUUUGUUUCCAUCUCUAAGUUCCGUCUUUAUAUCAAACUUUUCUAGUUGUUAACCCAUACCAAUAAUCUUUUUUGAAUUUCUUCAUGAGAAAGACUCGUGUGUUUUUUUUGCUUUAUCAAUUCUAUUUUCUAAAUUCCCAAAACAAGUCUUGUUCAACCACUUCAAAUUUUGUUUGAGAAUUUUAAGUUUUUCUUUGAGCACAUGUACUCUAGCUUGAAAUCUGCAACUUUUUCUAUUUAGUUUCCAUAACCUUUACAAAAACUUUACUUAUAAAAACUAUAUAUUAGUAAUCUUGAAUCUAAGAGACUUAAAGUUUGUUUCUUAAUAAUUUCUUAUCAUUGAAAUUUUUACGUAUAAAGGACCUAACUAUUGAGGGACCAAAAACCAGAUUCCAUAUAAGUUACAGCAUUUUUUGUGAGGGGUCGAUAUAAGUCACCCAAUUAACAUCGUGCAAAAAGACGCUAAUAGAAGGGUUAUAUGUCGUUUCCAUAAGUUAGAAACACAUUUUUAUUAGAAAAUUUCUGACAAUAAAUGUUAUAUGUUGUUUAUGGUACAUUUUACAGAGAGGAGUGUCCUAGGGGACAGGGAAAAAAGGUGGAACCAUGAAAAUUCAUUUUCACGCCCAAAUUAAUUAUCCAAGCACAAGUUAGUAUUAUUCAAAUUCCAAAAUAAUUAAUUGCAAUAGCUAUUAACAGUACACCAACAUGAAGCUGACAAAUUGGUUUUGAGGAUGCACCCUGAACUUAUUGCAUGUCUUCCUAUUGCGGCAUGGUAAUGAAAACUGGGCGCGGUUGAUAGAUAAGAACAAAGAAGUUAUUGGAAGGGCUGAUACGUGUUAUGGUUACAACACAGAUGGAGGAAAUACCCACAUGCAUGCAGGCAUCCUGGUUAUGCAUUUGAACUCAAGGAAGGUUACGUCAAUUUAAACCUCGAAAACAAUCGAGUUAUGACCCAUUCUUGGAUGGGAAUUCAAUGAAAGGUGUUGAUUUUGCACGUGGGGGGAUGAGUUUUACUUGGUAAACAACACCCAUCACAAACGUAACCUCCACUCUGAUUUCACCACUUCCAUGUUUGAUUUAUUAAAUAAGUGUUUGUACUUUAGUAUCCAUGUAUUUUUAUAAUGUUUAACUUAAUUUGUCACAUAAUAAGUAAAAGCUAUAGAUAUGCAAUUAGGAACUUUUAAAACCAAAUCAAAACAGUUUGUAAAUCGUAAAAUCCAUUAAAAAAAUAAAAAAUCAUAAAAAUAUAAAAUAUAAAAAAAAAUCGUAUCUUUUUUUUGGUUUGGUUAGUUUUUUAAUUUUGUUAAAAAAAAUAAACUAAAUCGGACAAAUCCACGAUAAAUAUUGAAUAAUCUUUUCAUUUGUUUUAUAAUUAAGAUAUAUAGAAAAUAGUAAUUUUUAACUUAAAAAUGUUAAAAAUAAAUAAAAUUUAUUUUAAAAGUAAUAUAAGAUAAUAAUGAUAUAACUUUAAUUGAAAAACUUUAAUUUAUGAUAAUGAAUUAAAAAAUAAAAAAACUGUAAAACCAAAUUAAAUCAAAUGAUAAAAAAUUAAUUUGAUUUGAUUUAGAUUUAAUAUAAUAUUUAAAUUGAAUCACAUUUUUAUUUUAUAUUUAAUUUAGAUGACUAUUUAUUUAAAAAAAAAAAACAAACAAACAAACAAAUUAAACCAUCCGACAAAGACUCACAUUUACAUAACCGCUUACCUGUAAAUGCCGUAUGCAAAUGCAG